RNAcentral lists this transfer RNA (72 nucleotides) under Chitinophaga cymbidii. RNAcentral describes it as "tRNA-Cys". It matches the Rfam family "tRNA". Rfam says of the family: Transfer RNA (tRNA) molecules are approximately 80 nucleotides in length. Their secondary structure includes four short double-helical elements and three loops (D, anti-codon, and T loops). Lineage: Bacteria; Pseudomonadati; Bacteroidota; Chitinophagia; Chitinophagales; Chitinophagaceae. The record is from RNAcentral.
UGUCGCGUGGCCGAGUGGUUAGGUAAAGGCCUGCAAAGCCUUUCACGGUGGUUCGAAUCCACCCGCGGCUAC